GUGGAAAACAUAUAUAUACCAAGUUUGAAUCUUUGCUUCUGUUUGCCAGUACUGUGAGAAAACGUCAGUGCCGAGGAGGUCUGGGUGCUAAAACAAACUCUGGAGCUGCUUUUUUGUCGAACACCAGUGCGAAGGUUUACUCUUUCAGCUGCUGCAGCCUGGACAGAAACACUAACUCUCACCUUACAAACAAACAAUAGGUGUCACCACUUCGUCCAUGAUCACAGAGUCUUCAUACAAUGAAGAAGUUCUUUGAAACCAGGACAGAGGCCUCCAGGAUUCAAACUUUAACCAUUAAAUCACAAAGAGGAGACACAGACGUGAAGACAUUUCCAGAAGGUCCUCAGCUGCUGUUGUCUUCUCCUCCUGCAGAGACAAGAACAUGUGUUAAUCACAGAAACUGAUCAGUUAAUCUAUUUUUCCUUUCCUAAACUGACCUUAUUCAUUGUUGACAUCUAAUUACAGUGAUGUAAAAUAAACUUACAGUAACUUGUUCAGUA
Molecule: long non-coding RNA, 500 nt
Organism: Lates calcarifer (barramundi perch)
Lineage: Eukaryota; Metazoa; Chordata; Actinopteri; Centropomidae
Exons: 5
Source: RefSeq, a predicted model, not a curated record